Prionailurus viverrinus (fishing cat) is the source of this 670-nucleotide non-coding RNA. The record is from the annotation of a RefSeq genome assembly. Lineage: Eukaryota; Metazoa; Chordata; Mammalia; Carnivora; Felidae.
AUUAGGGGAGGUCUGCUCAGCUGUGGGGCACAGAAGACAGGAUCGGUGAUGGUCUCCACCAUGGCUUGGUCUCCGGUCCUUCUCACCCUCCUCGCUCACUGCACAGGGUCCUGGGCCCAGUCUGUAUUGACUCAGCCACCCUCGGUGUCAGGCUCCUUGGGCCAGAGGGUCACCAUCUCCUGCACUGGAAGCAGCUCCAACAUUGGUAGCAAUUAUGUGAACUGGUACCAACAACUCUCAGGAACAGCUCCCAAACUCCUCAUCUAUCGUAAUAGCAGUCGACCCUCAGGGGUCUCUGAUCGAUUCUCCGGCUCCAAGUCUGGCAGCACAGGCACCCUGACCAUCACUGGGCUCCAGGCUGAGGACGAGGCUGAUUAUUACUGCCUGAGCACAUUUUCUGUUUGAUGUGAACUGAGCAGAAAUUCCUGGAUGCUGGGGCCGGUUGCCCUGAGGAUAGAGUCCUUGAGGAUUGUGCCUGCCUGCUGGCGCUGCCAUAACAUAAUACCACACACUGGGUGAGCAAAUCAAAAGAUACUUACUUUCUUACAGUUUUGGAGGCUAAAUGUCCAAGUUCAAGGUGGUGGCAAGUUUGAUGUCCCCUGAGGUCUCUCUCCUUGUCUUGCAAAUGGUUACAUUCGUCCUGGUUCCUCACAUGGCAUUUCCAUAUUCU